RNAcentral lists this long non-coding RNA (907 nucleotides) under Struthio camelus australis. RNAcentral describes it as "lncRNA (ENSSCUG00000013293.1)". Lineage: Eukaryota; Metazoa; Chordata; Aves; Struthioniformes; Struthionidae. The record is from RNAcentral.
UGGCUAUUUUAGACCUACUGGAAAUAAGAUCUUGAUUAUAAGGACUUUAAAAUGACAUGUGAGGGAGGACAGGAGCAUGGUAGUUUGAUCACAGUGCUGUAUCCCGAAGCUCGGGAGGAUGAGGCCAAAUGUUAAGACUCACUACUUACUUCUCUCUCUCACUUGAACGCUUGCCCUGGCUGUGUGCUGCUAGGGGUGGGAUGGGAUGGAAGUGCCAGUUUUUGGGAGGCAGUUUGCGUUUCCUGCUAAGGUUUUAGAAAGCAGAAUGUUUGUGUUUUCUGAAGCAGUUACCUCGAUAGAUAAUGACCAGGCCUCACCCAACUAAAACGUCCCCAUGCUUUAGCAACUGCCUUCCACUGCUAGCAAAUGAUGAAUUGAGUAAUCUAUGGUGCGGUGCUCCUGGCUGCGAGGUUGUAAAUGGCAUGCGUGUGGCUCCAGAAAUAUGAGAUCUCACAUUGGUUUUUAAAGAACUGCAGCAACAGUAACGCUGAUUAUAUCUUCUUCUCCCAGGGAAAACGUGCUGAACUGAAGUCUGCUCCAGACAGGCCCAUGUAUCAGUAGGUGAUGAGCGUGUGCGUCUGACAGCAGAUGCUUCCCUUUAAGGGCUGCUGAGCUGAGAGAAAUACUUCUUCCUGAGACAUUUUGCAGGUGGAAAGAGUCAAAAACCUUCGGCAUGACUGGGCCAGGCGUCCUGACUGGGCCAGGCAUCAGUAUGACAAAAACGUAUCUCCAGGCCCAUGCAGACGCAGACUUGGAGUGCUGCAGACAUGGACUACACCAGUUCAGGGAUCCAGGACUUUACUUUUCUCCUUCCCGCCCUUCCCCUUCACUGAUGCCGAACAUAAAAUGCGGGUAGUGUGCGCUUGUCCUGAUACAUGCAGGUUACACGCUCUCUGCCCUUGCUGUG